RNAcentral lists this long non-coding RNA (212 nucleotides) under Elaeis guineensis (African oil palm). RNAcentral's name for it is "long non-coding RNA (EGUI_LNC050267)". Lineage: Eukaryota; Viridiplantae; Streptophyta; Magnoliopsida; Arecales; Arecaceae. The record is from RNAcentral.
CUACUCUUCCAGCAAGUCCAGAAUUUAACGAUUGCUGUUCAAGUGGUCUAGACUGAUCUUGCACCUCUUGCAAUGAUGCCAUAGCCUGCUCAAGCUACCCCUGCAUCUCUUUCAAUGAUGCAGCCAGUGGUUUUCUCGAUGGUGCCACCAGCACCUCCUGCGGUGGUACACUCAUCAAAUCUGACUCCACACUCGGCUCCUCAGCCGCCGCC